RNAcentral lists this ribosomal RNA (253 nucleotides) under uncultured bacterium. RNAcentral's name for it is "partial 16S ribosomal RNA". It matches the Rfam family "Bacterial small subunit ribosomal RNA", at positions 524 to 776 of the family's 1533-position model. The record is from RNAcentral.
UACGAAGGGUGCAAACGUUAUUCGGAAUCACUGGGCGUAAAGGGUGCGUAGACGGUUUAUUAAGUUCGUUGUUAAAGGCUCCGGCCCAACCGGAGUAUAGCGAUGAAAACUGGUAAACUAGAGGAUGAGAGAGAGAAGUGGAAUUCCCGGAGUAGCGGUAAAAUGCGUGGAUCUCGGGAGGAACACCAAUGGCGAAGGCAGCUUCUUGGCUCAUAUCUGACGUUGAGGCACGAAAGCGUGGGGAGCAAACAGG